This 3786-nucleotide ribosomal RNA is filed under the name Triticum aestivum (bread wheat). RNAcentral's name for it is "partial small subunit ribosomal RNA". Lineage: Eukaryota; Viridiplantae; Streptophyta; Magnoliopsida; Poales; Poaceae. The record is from RNAcentral.
AUGCGUACGCGUUGGGUUCCACCAUAUUAUCAACGUGAAUUGCUUCAAAAAUUGCAGCGUUUAAGACAAGGAAAAAAUUCUUUAGAAGAAUAUUAUCAGGAAUUACAAACUGGCAUGAUUAGAUGUGGUAUUGUUGAGGAGAAUGAAGCUAUGCUUGCACGUUUUCUGGAUGGAUUAAAUAGAGAGAUUCAGACCAUUCUAGACUAUAAGGAGUAUACUAAUAUCACUCGUUUAUUCCAUCUUGCUUGUAAAGCUGAACGUGAAGUGCAGGAUCGACAAGCAUUGGGGCGAACUAACUUUUCUGCAGGACGACCUUCAUCAUGGACACCACGUGCAUCUUCUACUUCAACUGCACCAGCACCUCCAUCCGGUGCCACCUCCAGCCGUGAUACAAGAAAACAGGCACAACCACCAUUAUCUGCCAAGAGCGCACCUGCGGGGCCUGCACAGCGUUCUUCUUCUUCCAUGGCAUCAACAGGGCACACAAGUGAUAUUAUUUGUCGUCGUUGUAAGGGAGGAGGUCAUUAUGCGAGAGAAUGCAAAUCUCCGCGUGUGAUGAUUGCUACCGCGGAUGGUGGAUAUGAGUCCGCUAGUGACUAUGAUGAGGAGACUUUGGCUCUUAUUACACGUGAAGAACAUGGUGGAGAUGAUUCUGAUCAUGAGACGCAAUACAUGGCUCCUGAAGACGCUGACAGGUAUGAAUGUUUAGUUGCUCAACGUGUUUUGAGUGUGCAGGUCACACAAGCUGAGCAAAAUCAGAGGCAAAAUUUGUUCCAUACCAAGGGAGUUGUGAAGGAACGUUCUGUGCGCGUCAUAAUAGACGGAGGGAGCUGCAACAACUUGGCUAGCAUGGAGAUGGUGGAGAAGCUUUCUCUCACCACAAGACCACAUCCACAUCCUUACUACAUCCAAUGGUUCAACAACAGCGGCAAGGUUAAGGUAACACGUACUGUUCGUGUGCAUUUUAGUAUCUCUACAUAUGCUGAUUAUGUUGAUUGUGAUGUGGUACCUAUGCAAGCAUGUUCCUUAUUACUUGGUAGACCAUGGCAAUUUGAUAAAAAUUCUGUACACCAUGGUAGAAACAAUCACUAUACUCUUGUUCAUAAGGAUAAAAAUAUUACUUUGCUUCCUAUGACUCCUGAUUCCAUUUUGCAAGAUGAUAUUAAUAGAGCUAAUAAAGCACAACACGAGAAGAAUAAGAGUGAAAAUCAGAUUGUGGCAAAAGAAUUUGAGCAACAAAUGAAGCCUAAUAAUAAACCAUCUAGUGUUGCUUCUGAAAUUAAAUUGAAAAGUGCAUGUUUAUUUGCCACCAAAUCUGAUAUUGAUGAGCUAGAUUUCAGCAAAUCUGUUUGCUAUGCUUUUGUGUGCAAAGAGGCAUUAUUUUCAUUCGAGGACGUGCCUUCCUCUUUGCCUCCUGCUGUCACUAACAUUUUGCAGGAGUUUGCUGACGUUUUUCCACAAGACGUGCCACCGGGAUUACCGCCUAUUCGAGGGAUUGAGCAUCAGAUUGACUUAAUUCCCGGUGCUUCACUGCCAAACCGUGCACCAUACCGUACCAAUCCAGAGGAGACGAAGGAGAUUAUGCGUCAAGUACAAGAGCUUCUCGACAAAGGUUAUAUACGCGAAUCCCUUAGUCCUUGUGCUGUUCCUAUUAUUCUAGUGCCGAAAAAGGAUGGUACAUCACGUAUGUGUGUUGAUUGUAGAGGCAUUAAUAAUAUUACUAUUCGUUAUUGUCGUCCUAUUCCUAGGCUAGAUGAUAUGCUUGAUGAAUUGAGUGGCUCUACAAUAUUCUCCAAAGUUGAUUUGCGUAGUGGCUACCAUCAAAUUCGUAUGAAAUUGGGAGAUGAAUGGAAAACAGCAUUUAAAACUAAGUUUGGAUUAUAUGAGUGGUUAGUCAUGCCUUUUGGGUUAACUAAUGCACCUAGUACUUUCAUGAGAUUAAUGAACGAAGUUUUACGUGCUUUCAUUGGACGAUUUGUGGUAGUUUACUUUGAUGACAUAUUGAUUUAUAGCAGAUCUUUGGAGGAACAUUUGGAACAUUUACGUGCUAUUUUUAUUGCUCUACGUGAUGCACGUUUGUUUGGUAACCUUGGGAAGUGCACCUUUUGCACCGACCGAGUAUCUUUUCUUGGCUAUGUUGUUACUCCACAGGGAAUUGAAGUUGAUAAAGCCAAGAUUGAAGCUAUUGAGAGUUGGCCGCAGCCCAAAACGGUCACACAAGUGAGGAGUUUUCUUGGCCUCGCUGGAUUCUAUAGGCGUUUUGUGAGAGAUUUCAGCACCAUUGCUGCACCUCUCAAUGAGCUUACAAAGAAAGAUGUGCCUUUUCUUUGGGGUACCGCACAGGAAGAAGCCUUCACGGUAUUGAAAGCUAGCUCCGUUCGUCUUUUGAUGUUGCAGGAGGCGCAUGGAGGAGGAUUAAUGAGACACUUUGGCAUGAAGAAGACGGAGGACGUACUUGCUACACAUUUCUUUUGGCCAAAGAUGAGACAGGAUGUUGAGCGUUUUAUUGCUCGAUGCACUACAUGUCAAAAAGCUAAGUCACGACUCAAUCCUCAUGGUUUAUAUAUGCCUUUGCCUGUACCUAGUGUUCCUUGGGAGGAUAUAUCUAUGGACUUUGUUUUAGGUUUACCUCGAACAAAGAAGGGGAGGGAUAGCAUAUUUGUUGUCGUGGAUAGAUUCUCGAAAAUGGCACACUUUAUACCAUGUCAUAAAAGCGAUGAUGCUGUUAAUGUUGCUGAUUUGUUCUUUCGUGAAAUUAUUCGCUUGCAUGGUGUGCCAAAUACUAUUGUUUCAGAUCGUGAUACUAAAUUUCUUAGCCACUUUUGGAGAUGUUUAUGGGCUAAGUUGGGGACUAAACUGCUUUUUAGUACUACUUUUCACCCCCAAACUGAUGGACAAACUGAAGUAGUCAAUAGAACGUUGUCUACUAUGCUUAGGGCUGUUUUGAAGAAUAAUAAGAAAAUGUGGGAGGAAUGCUUGCCUCAUAUUGAAUUUGCUUAUAAUCGUUCAUUGCAUUCUACUACUAAGAUGUGCCCUUUUGAAGUUGUGUAUGGUUUCCUACCUCGUGCACCUAUUGAUUUGUUGUCUCUUCCAUCUUCGGAGAAGGUUAAUUUUGAUGCUAAACAACGUGCUGAAUUGAUUUUAAAAAUGCAUGAGUUAACUAAGGAAAACAUUGAGCGCAUGAAUGCUAAAUAUAAACUUGCUGGAGAUAAGGGUAGAAAACAUGUUGUGUUUGCACCUGGAGAUCUUGUUUGGUUACAUUUGCGUAAGGAUAGAUUUCCUGAUUUGCGCAAAUCAAAGUUAAUGCCACGUGCUGAUGGUCCCUUUAAGGUGUUAGAGAAAAUAAAUGAUAAUGCAUAUAAACUUGAGCUGCCUGCAGAUUUUGGGGUUAGUCCCACUUUUAACAUUGCAGAUUUGAAGCCUUAUUUGGGUGACGAAGAUGAACUUCCGUCGAGGACGACUUCAUUUCAAGAAGGGGAGGAUGAUGAGGACAUCAAUACAAUUGUUACACCCAUAGCCCCUGCUGCUAUACAUACUGGACCAAUUACUAGAGCUCGUGCACGCCAACUAAAUUACCAGGUACUUUCGUUUCUUGGUAAUGAUUCUAAUGUUCAUGAGAAUAUGAUGCUGCCUAAAUUGGAUACAUUUGUUUUGCUUACAAAUGAAGGGCCUAGCUUGGAGAAGGAUGAACAUUGGAGCAAGAACAAGCAUGGAGAUGAUGGCAUGCGCAAGGGAAACAAGAACGGAGUUACAAGUGAUGAUUUCAGGACUUUGAAGCCACCAUAA